RNAcentral lists this ribosomal RNA (159 nucleotides) under uncultured bacterium. RNAcentral's name for it is "partial 16S ribosomal RNA". It matches the Rfam family "Bacterial small subunit ribosomal RNA", at positions 355 to 509 of the family's 1533-position model. The record is from RNAcentral.
UGAGGAAUAUUGGUCAAUGGACGCAAGUCUGAACCAGCCAAGUAGCGUGCAGGAUGACGGCCCUCCGGGUUGUAAACUGCUUUUAGUUGGGAAUAAAAGGGGGCUCGUGAGCCCCGUAUUGUAUGUACCAUCAGAAAAAGGACCGGCUAAUUCCGUGCC